RNA transcript from Mangifera indica (mango), 1785 nucleotides. RefSeq lists it as uncharacterized. NCBI's taxonomy places the organism in Eukaryota, Viridiplantae, Streptophyta, Magnoliopsida, Sapindales, Anacardiaceae. The record is from RefSeq and is a predicted model, not a curated record. The transcript is spliced from 7 exons.
AAAAAAGGAAAUAGUGUCCGGAUAGCAUUACUCUUUAAUUGAUUAGCAUAUCACAUAUCUUCACUCUGCACUUCAUUAUCCUUCUUCGAUCCCCUCUCCUCUCUCCUCGUCUGGAGCUUUCGUUUGGAUCUUCGUGUACUCGCAACUGACCACAAAACCGGUGAGGCGCUCAUUUCCGGGGGGCUUAGGAAACAAUUUGUCUAGUUUAUUGUGCACGUCAAAUGAGAUGACGGCCUGCAAUUUCGUGUCUCCGCAAAGGACUUUCAUACAGAUGGGGACUGCUCCCGACGUCAUGGACAACUCUGGCAUGAAAAAGUUGAUGUGCACACAAUCUCUGAAGGGAGGAAAUGGGGCUGGAUUGGGGGAUAGCAUUGAUGCAUCAGUAAAGGAAGCUAUGCUGAAUGGUAGUGUAGAAAGGAAAGGAUAUUGGUUUGGUUGGAAGCCAACACAAGAUCUCUUCUGAAUCAGUUGAUUAAAUUCUUCCUGAUCAGCAAUCAUGGAGAUUUUCCCUGGAACCAUCUUUGCUACAAAUGUUUGUUAGCUUGAUUACCUGUUGACCAAUUAUUUGUUCACUUGGUGCAAGUUUAAUGGUGAUAUCUCUGAAUAAUUGCUUAUAAUUUAUUGUCUAGAGCAUACAAGUUGAAUCAAUUAACAAAUACAUGGUAAAUUUGGGCAGACCUUGCAGUUUUUCUAACUUCUUGAUGUUAUUGUUGGGCAGACCUUAUUUUCAAUGCAUGAUUUUCAAUAUGUCAAACUUUAUUUACCUUGCUAACCCCAUAUUUCCUUUGAUGCAAAUGUGAAACUUUGUUUUCAGUUUUUCUAAUUUUCCAAUAUUUUUCCUUAUUCACUCAUUGGAUUUUAUUUGCAUGUGGAACCAAAAAAAUGCUGUGCAGCGUUCAUUGUCGGGGGGCUUAGGAAACAAUUUGUCUAGUUUAUUUAGCAUACUGAAUGAGACGACAGCCCGCAAUUUCUUGUCUCAGGAUUUGCAUACAGAUGCAGACUAUUCUCAACAUUGUGGACAACUCUGGCGCCAAAAAUUUGAUGUCCACACAAGCUCUGAAGGGAGAAAAGGGGGCUGAAUUGGGGGAUAACAUUGAUGCAAGAAAUCCAGUUUUAAAGUGAUCCAGUGCGGCCUAUUGUCUCCUCAUCUUUCUAUUCAUAAGCCACAGCUCUCUUUAACAAUGUCAAUUUUCAAUAGGAUCUCCGGGGUUCUGCUAACCUUUGUGGUUUUGUUAAUUGUCUUCUUUUUGUGAAAUUGCCUUCUAAUUGUUUCACCUAUGAGAGUUUCUACCGAAUUUUUGAAUUUUUCUUUCAUCAAGAUAAACUUAUCCUAAUCUUCGAGAUUUGUGCCUUAGCCUUGAAUUAUCGUUUGUAUAGGAUGAUUUGGGGGUUCUCCAUGCAAGGCCAGCCGUUUGGGACCAGAGUACCAAGGAAGUAAAAGCAUGUCAAGAUCCUUUACUUUGGCAGAGCAUAUUACCUGAGGCUAACUGGCUUGGGAAUGGGCACAGCUCUUUUCAAAUACAGCAUUACAUUAGCUUUGCAAACUAAUAUUACAAGCAGUCACCAACUCUAUGAACUUGUAAUGGAAAGCUCUGAUCUCCAGCAUCUUCUCAACUUCUUCAAUGGGGAGCCCUUUAGUUUCAGCUAUUCCUCCACAGACCCCUCGGAACCUCAACGGAUAGAUCUCAGAAUUCACAAUCCAUGGGACAGUUCCCAUUCCAGGAGAGAAAAAUAUUAUGUAGAGUGCCAGGCCGAUUAGCGCAAGCCAUCCAUAUUUGCUUGGGC